GGGGGCAACAGGCCUCUUACACCAGCAUGCUUUUCUUUAAAUUUGGCAGACAUACACAGCUGUGGUCCUAAUGUAGCCAUUUUGCUAUCAUCAGCUGCUGGAGCUCCCUUCCUUCCAGCUGGCCACAUUAUUUAGCAGUCACGAGAUCUGGAUGAGACAACUGGUGUGCCCACAUCACGGACAAAAGAGGAGGUUUCCUUAGCAACAUGAAUCAUAUGAAAUCUGUCAGGAGAGCUCUUUCCUUAAAGUCACUCCUUCAGUGGUUUGCACCACACACUGGCUCUCCAUGGACGACAAGGACCUGAUUCAUAAUGCACCUGGUGUGGUAAUGGCUACCUUUCAAAAAGAGCGCUACCACAGGUGCCAACUCUCCGUAAUCUGUAUCAGAAGCUUUGGAGCCAGUCCCUCAGAGCACUGCUUUGUACAUUAAUUAUUAUGGUAAGUCGAGAAGAUCAGCUGACAGCAUGAAUACUCUAAAAGCACACCACCAAGAGUUUAAGCUCUACUUUGUGUAUGCUGGAUUGGGCCCUAAAUCAUCAUCCCUUUGCACCUCUUCCUGUUGUGCUCUGGCUGUUCAGCACCCAGUAGCCAUCCUGACUAGGUCUGCUAAGCCCUACUGUCAUGCAGAUAAAUUACACUAUGGAGCUCUUUAUUGACACUCAGACGCUACUGUUUUGACUGCAAGCUGGAAACAGAAAACAAUGCACUAUAGCAAGAAGAGAGACUUUCUUCAGGUGACCAAAAGUGCCACCGAAAAGAAGAGACAGCCACAAUCUAGUCUCCUAUCAACGUGAAAUAGCAGAAAGUUAAGCUGGUCUCCCAGUAAUAGAAAUUAGAUCUGUCGUGUCUUGUAUGAUUUGUAAAAUUACAAUCUCCCUGGAUGAUAAAUAACAUGAGUGUGUUGUUGUUCAUAACAUUGUCCAUUGAUGACUUAUACAAUUAUAAACCAUUAGUAUUUAGGAUAUAAAAGUUAUCAUCUUUACUUUCUUAAAAGCUUAUAUGUCUCUUCAUUAGGCUAACCUUUCCUUAAGCAAGAAAAAAUAGAAAGGUGCGCUGUCUGUCUCUGUCUCUCUCUCUGAAAAAACAAUCAAUUUCCUAGGGAGAAAGGAAAAAAAUAUUGUCCUCUUGUCAGACCCCAUUUUGGCUUAGUUCUUUCUUGGGAGGAAUUCAGAUAUUACAGUAAUGGGUGCCUGAUACACAU
This is a long non-coding RNA of Chelonia mydas (Green sea turtle), 1201 nucleotides long. RefSeq lists it as uncharacterized. NCBI's taxonomy places the organism in Eukaryota, Metazoa, Chordata, Testudines, Cheloniidae. The record is from RefSeq and is a predicted model, not a curated record. The transcript has 6 exons.